UACGAAGGGGGCUAGCGUUGCUCGGAAUCACUGGGCGUAAAGGGUGCGUAGGCGGGUCUUUAAGUCAGGGGGGAAAUCUUGGAGCUUAACUCCGAAACUGCAUUCGAUACUGCCGUGCUUGAGGACUGGAGAGGAGACUGGAAUUUACGGUGUAGCGGUGAAAUGCGUAGAUAUCGUAAGGAAGACCAGUGGCGAAGGCGGGUCUCUGGACAGUUCCUGACGCUGAGGCACGAAGGCCAGGGGAGCAAACGGG
This 253-nucleotide ribosomal RNA is filed under the name uncultured bacterium. RNAcentral describes it as "partial 16S ribosomal RNA". It matches the Rfam family "Bacterial small subunit ribosomal RNA", at positions 524 to 776 of the family's 1533-position model. The record is from RNAcentral.